UACGUAGGGUGCGAGCGUUGUCCGGAAUUAUUGGGCGUAAAGAGCUCGUAGGCGGUCUGUCGCGUCGGAUGUGAAAACUCGGGGCUCAACCCCGAGCCUGCGUUCGAUACUGGACGGCUAGAGUCUGGUAGGGGGAUCUGGAAUUCCUGGUGUAGCGGUGGAAUGCGCAGAUAUCAGGAGGAACACCGGUGGCGAAGGCGGGAUCCUGGGCCAGUACUGACGCUGAGGAGCGAAAGCGUGGGGAGCAAACAGG
Molecule: ribosomal RNA, 253 nt
Filed under: uncultured bacterium
Lineage: Bacteria
Description: partial 16S ribosomal RNA
Rfam family: Bacterial small subunit ribosomal RNA
Source: RNAcentral